RNAcentral lists this transfer RNA (77 nucleotides) under Holosporaceae bacterium. RNAcentral describes it as "tRNA-Arg". It matches the Rfam family "tRNA". Rfam says of the family: Transfer RNA (tRNA) molecules are approximately 80 nucleotides in length. Lineage: Bacteria; Pseudomonadati; Pseudomonadota; Alphaproteobacteria; Holosporales; Holosporaceae. The record is from RNAcentral.
GCGGUCGUAGCUCAGAUGGAUAGAGCACGAGAUUCCUAAUCUCGGUGUCAAGGGUUCGAAUCCCUUCGAUCGCACCA